UGAAUACGAGACGCUAAGGCGUCGAAGUAGUGUAUGUCAUACUUCCAAGAAAAGCUUGCACUGUCAUAAGUAAAAAAUGCCUGUACCAUAACCGACACAGGUGGGUAGGUAGAGUAUACUAAGGGGCGCGAGAUAACUCUCUCUAAGGAACUCGGCAAAAUAACUCCGUAACUUCGGGAGAAGGAGUACCUUAUUCUAUAAGGUUGCAAUAACAAGAUCCAAGCAACUGUUUAUCAAAAACACAGGUCUCCGCUAAGUCGUAAGACGAUGUAUGGGGGCUGACGCCUGCCCAGUGCCAGAAGGUUAAAGAAGUCGGUUAGCAUUAGCGAAGCUGGUAACUGAAGCCCUGGUGAACGGCGGCCGUAACAAUAACGGUCCUAAGGUAGCGAAAUUCCUUGUCGGGUAAGUUCCGACCCGCACGAAAGGCGUAAUGAUUUGGAUACUGUCUCGGAGAGGGGCUCGGUGAAAUAGACUUGUCUGUGAAGAUGCGGACUACCUGCACCAGGACAGAAAGACCCUAUGAAGCUUUACUGUAACUUGAAAUUGAAAUUGGACUUUAUUCGCGCAGUAUAGGUGGGAGGUGUUGAUUAUAAUCUUGCGGGAUUAUUGGAGCCAUCAGUGAGAUACCACUCUUGUAAUGUUAGAUUUCUAACUUUGAAUCAUUAUCUGGUCAAAGGACAGUUUCAGGCGGGCAGUUUGACUGGGGCGGUCGCCUCCCAAACGGUAACGGAGGCGUACAAAGGUUUCCUCUGAACGGGUAGAAAUCGUAUCUAGAGUGUAAAGGCAUAAGGAAGCUUGACUGUGAGACCUACAAGUCGAACAGGGACGAAAGUCGGUCUUAGUGAUCUGACGGUACUGAGUGGAAAGGCCGUCACUCAACGGAUAAAAGUUACUCUAGGAUAACAGGCUGAUCUCCCCCAAGAGUUCACAUCGACGGGGAGGUUUGGCACCUUGAUGUCGGCUCAUCGCAUCCUGGGGCGGUAGUACGUCCCAAGGGUUGGGCUGUUCGCCCAUGAAAGCGGUACGCGAGCUGGGUUCAGAACGUCGUGAGACAGUUCGGUCCAUAUCCGGUGUAGGCGUUAGAAUAUUGAGAGGAGCCUUCUUUAGUACGAGAGGACCGAGAAGGACAUACCUCUGGUGUACCAGUUAUCGUGCCAACGGUAAACGCUGGGUAGCUAUGUAUGGAGUGGAUAACCGCUGAAAGCAUCUAAGUGGGAAGCCCGCCUCAAGAUAAG
RNAcentral lists this ribosomal RNA (1235 nucleotides) under metagenome. RNAcentral describes it as "bacterial LSU rRNA". It matches the Rfam family "Bacterial large subunit ribosomal RNA", at positions 1564 to 2808 of the family's 2925-position model. The record is from RNAcentral.